Cyanistes caeruleus (blue tit) is the source of this 7320-nucleotide non-coding RNA. The record is from RefSeq and is a predicted model, not a curated record. NCBI's taxonomy places the organism in Eukaryota, Metazoa, Chordata, Aves, Passeriformes, Paridae.
CGCUCCGUGCGGCGUCUCCCGGGAGCUCCCCGGCCAUCUGCGGGUCAAUGAGAGACAACCGGCAGCAUCUGGCAGACAUGGCCACGGGAGGAAAGAAAGAGACAGUCACAUGUAGCAACAGUGAUGUAGAUCCUGCAGGAAGGCUAAUUAAAGCAGUGUGGAAAAAGAAAACUACACCAAGAAGGCAUGACCUAUACACUGGAAAACCUGUGUUGCCAGAACUCAGGAGACUCCCGUGGCAGCUGGAAGGCAUCUAGAGGCAUUUGAGAGGGUAACCACCCAUGUAUCUAAGCACUUUUCCUAGCAGGUAAAAGAGAAACCUGUGAUUCACUGCAGUGAUGAGAAUUUGUGGGGUGUGUGAUGGCCACAUCCAUGGAAACAUGAGCUGAACUGAUUCAGGUGAGUUCUGGCACAGGCCAGCAGUUGGCAAGACACCUGUAACAAGCUCUAGCUGCUGGAGGAAGGCAGCCAGGCACUGCCUGCUGAAGCAUCACCUCUUGUACCUGGGGACAAUGGGAUGUGUUUGCAGUUGGUGGCAAAAAAAAAAGAGAGGAAAGAAAAGAAACAAGCAUGGAAAAUGGAGGAACUGAAAAUGGAAUAGAGAUCUGAAUUUGGGUAUGGCAAACAAAUGAUACAAAGUAAGAGAGAAAUGCUUGAGCCCUAGUGGAAGAGAAGUUAGAGCAGUAGUUUCAAAAUAAGAUUAUGGUAGCUGUAGGGAAGGAGGGGAAGAUCACCAAGUACAGGACACAGUUCUGUAGAGGUGGGGGAAAUGAGCAGUAGAAAAGAGACCAGGGGUAAAGGAGGGACUGGAACAGGAUGGAGAAACAGAAAAGAUUCAGGAAAAAUGAGAAGGAAAAAAAUGAUCCACCCUUGUAAAGGUUUUUAUUUUUCACAAAUAAAAGCUGAUGAAGUAGAAUAAAGAAUAAACAUGUAAAUUCAACUGAAGGAAACUAAAAUGAUGGGAAGAGUGGAGGGUGGAGAAUGGAAUAAGGAUAACAAAAAAUUGAAACAUUAAUAAGUAGAAAAAAUAGAAGAAUUAGUAACCUGUUCUUAGGUAAUGUGGGCUUUGUAAAAUUUAUUUCUUAAUUCCCCACAGUCUAAGAAAAAGAGAUACGAUGAUAUAUGGAAGAAAUAGUGUUUCAUUACAUUAGUUUGUCUCACAUUUCAGGAAAAGGGGUCUCCUCAAAAAAAAACAACCAAACAUCAAAACAAUAAGUGUUUUCUUUUUUAUUUCAGAAAUAAGUACAGAGACUGUAACACCUGUAAUGCUGUUCUGUCCUCUCUCCCCUUUCUCUUUUUCUCAGUUUUGAGUCUAUGCCUCAGGGAUUUUAAUUUUGACAUCUUUCAUUCCACCCCCAUGUAUCAAAUUUAACGUCACUUUAACUUCUGGUUUUAAAUGAAGUAUUUUUAAAAAUCUCAUCGUUUUAGGCUUAUGGGGGUUUGGCUCUCUUAAUUAGUACCUUGACUGUGUAUUCAGUGGCACUGGCAUAAAUCUGCAUUUUUCCAUUGCACUUCUCAGCAAUCCAAGAGCAUUGCACAGUCAAGACAAAAUAUAUUUUACCAGUGAGGAGGAGAUGGCAGAGAGAUUAAAUUUCUUAUCCAGACCCACAGAGUUUUUGAGCAUGAAAGUGAAACCACACUUUGGGCACUGUUUAUUUGAAUGCUCCAACUGUAUGAAAUACAAACAUAAGAGGAAGAAAUGCUCACAUGAGUUUGGCUGAAAACAAACCUAUUUUGUGCAGAUACAGUGUUUAUAAUGCAUGGUGUAAGUAUCUGAGAUAAGGAAUUACCUACAAAGAUUAAAAAAGCAGCAUUUUCUAUUCCUUUCUAGAAAUAACAGGCUCUUAAUCUACACUUUAAUCAGCUUUAUUGUAAAUACACUCAUGUUAGAAUGAUACAGUUUGAUUUUCUUGUUCUAUUAAUGCAGUCAAUGCCACUUUUCAUCCUGCAGUCAGUCAUUCUUUACCCUGAAAAAUUGACCAUUUUCUAAAAGUAAUGCAGUUUUCCUGCUGUAAUGUGAAAUGAUAAUUCCUUUUUGUACUUGUGAAAAUCCAGCAGUAAAAUUACGAAGACAUGCUGGAGAAUUUUUCUGUUUGUGUAGCACUUCCAUGUGGAAGAUUCAAAUUACUAGUCUGACUUCUAAACUCUUCAUUUUUAAAAGAUAUAUCAAUAUAUCCACUUAAAUGGGUAGGAUAAGCCAGCAGUGCUGUUCUGACCAGCCCAGUCUUUGCUGUUUGUAUGCCAUAAAUCUACUUAAAAGUUGUGUUUGAUUGCCUGAAUCUAUCAAGGUUAGGAGUCACUUUUGAUGCAACAGAGUAAGGAGGCAACGUAAAUAUACUUGCUUUUAUAAAACUAAAUCUUGGACAUGUGUAACAUUUUUUAUUGGGAUGAACACAAACUGCUAUUCCAGACUUUCCACGGCACACCACUCCACCAGUGUCUACUUUAUAAAAAUGAGACUAAAUCCCACAGUCAGUAUUAGACAGAAGGCUGAGAACUCAGCCCAAAAUACUGCCUGCUCUUGCAGUUCACUCUGCCAUUGAAGUUUUGGGGAAUGAAGCAGUUAAGGAAGUGCAAAUACCUUUUAUACCAAGGCUUUCUGGAUCAUGAAUGGCAAGAUGAAGUUAUCCUGGCUAAGAAGGUAGUGAUUUAUUCACAGAUGUGGAAGCUGGAUAUAAUUUUAAGAGAUCCUUUCAUGAAGAUAGUUAAAUGGAUAGUCUAUGUGAUACAAAAAAGGUUGACAAAGCUGAAGUUUGCAGUUUGGUGACAAAAGUUGAAGGAUGAAGACUUUUAAGUCAGACACAUUCUAAAAAAGGCAUUGAUGCAACUAUUUCCCAUUGAAAAGAGUAAGAGGAUUCAGAUCUAAGUUUAGAAAUAAUUAAGGCAUAAAAAGAUACAGUUGUCUAUCUAGGAGAGUGGGGAGCACUGAACAGUGCCUAAGAUACAAAGUUCCAUUAGGACAAAUUUCUGACUGGGUUUUUUGUUGCACAGGCUGCUUUUGUUUGGAAUAUGUUGCACUGAAAUGAAUGGCAAACCUCUUUGUAUCCAUCCUCACAGAUGCACUGAUGCAAGGGCAUGGGGUAAAAGUGGGAUUUCAUAAAGUUCUUCCAGGCAUGAAGUGUGAAAAAGGUAUAUUGAAGACACACUGAAAUGAAAGGAAAAAAAAAAAAGGAAGUAAUAAAUGGAGAAAGAAAGCAAAAAAUUGGCUUAUAGGGAUGAAAUGCUGCGGAGGAUUAGUGUGCAGGGGAAGAUUUUGUAGAGUUCACAUUUAUGCAUUAAUUGGGAGAAUAAGAAUCUGUGUAUUAAGCUUCAUGCCCAACUUUCCGAGGCUGCAGUGAUAACCAAUGAUCUAAAUCCACUUCUGGGCUGAAGAGAGCCCAAGUUUACAGCCAGACUGUCACAACUGACCUACUUGGUACUCUUGACAGUGUCUCAGUGGAGAGACCAAGGAACAGAUGGGAGUACAGCCUGAUGCAUCACUCUGGUACCAGUCUUUUCUGAACAAAAUCAAAUAUUUUUGAGAGUACAAAACAUACUGAAGAGCCCUGGAUGUUGCAGACCAGAAAAUGCCACCAUUGCCUGCACAGAAAUUUACCUUCACCAGCUGGGUUUGGCUAAAAUUCCAGAAAGCUCGGCAGCAAUGUUUGUUUAAGGGCUCCUCAUUCCCUCUCUGAACUUCUCUCUCUCUCCAAAUUAUUGAACACAUUCCAGCUAUAAGUACUGAGCACUAUUUCCUUGGCACUGAGGCUUCAGUGGGCUUGAACCAAGAGCUCUUGCUGUGCAAAUCAAACCAUAGGGCAACAAUGCACAUCACUGAGCUGAGAACCUAGAGGGAAGAGUGUUUCAUGAGAUAUUCUAGUUCAGAGAUCUCAUUUCCAUUCAUUCUUUACAGUGGACUCUUCUGCAGCCAAAGAAUCUCCCUCUCCUUACCUGUUUUACAAAUGGGUUGAAGAUUCAGCUUCCUUCUGUUCAGUGAGGGAAGGGAUCAUUUUUUCAGCCUUGGCAGUGUGCUGUUCUUUUCCUGCACAACAUCUGCUGCAGUUUUCAUGGCUUGAAUUGUUCCUGGACUCAUUUUAAAAGGCAUGUUUCAGAAAUGUCUUUGAGGAUAUGAAUUAUUAGUCAUUGUUUUAUCUUCUAGGGUGUUCUUCAUUUAUCUUUGUUAUUUUCCUUUUUAAAAUUAGACUAAAGAGGCUUUGGAGUUUAAAGUUUAUAGGUUUUAAUUCAGGUUUAGACUAAACAUAACAAGAAUGGUAAAAUAACUCAUAGCAAUUGGAUUUUAGUGCAGUUUCAGUAAUUAAUUUUUGUAUGACAAUAAACUGGGAUUUAAUCUCCAUCUAACUCAUGCUUCUUACCACUGUAGUAUUUGUGUACACACUUUUCACAUACAUGUGACAAUUCUGACAUUUACUGUUCCAAAGCCUUUGCAUUAUUUGUACCUCAUACCUCAUUUCUCCAUCACUUCAUGUAUGACAAGAUGUUUGAUACUUAGUGCACUUUUAAACCACUUUUUUUUUUUGGUGUAAAGUAACUAAAAAAGAGAUUUGGCUCUUCAGUUUUCUCACUUAAUUCUGAUUAAUAUGUUUAAUUUUUUUCCAGAACAACUCACAUCUUCAUCUUGGGCUCUGUAUUUUACUCAGCAGCAUCCUCAACAUUUACUCUGCCUGUGACACCCUUGCCAAACUUCCAAAGGCUGUUUGGGAUACACAGUUUCCAGUAGGACAUUUUGAAGACAAAAGGUUUGUGCAAGUUUAACUUGGAGCAUGAACUGGUCUGAAGAACAGUGUCAUCAAUUUUGUUAUACUUGUGAGGUAUUGGAAGAGUACUGCAAGGUAACCCUACAAACAAAGUGCAAGGGUUAAGACAUUUUCCUGCAGCAUACCUUACUUAAUUAUGAAUAUUAAUCCCUAUUAGGAGCAUUAGGCUUCCUCAGGGAUUCACCUAAGGACAACUGAAAUACAGGGGAUGAGUUGAAGACCAAGAUUUUGACAAUAUUUUGAGAUUUGAUGGAGAAGACAGUCAAAAGUGUCAACUACAAGGGGCACUGAAGUUGCUUUAUUUACUUACUGGUGAAUGUCUGGAGUAAAAACUGAUAAUCCCCAAAACUCAAAGAAAAAUACUUAAACCAGGAAUAUUUUUCCUAUAGAUUGUCAAACAUUUGUAUUCCGGAUGCAAAUGGAGCCUUGCUGCUUUUGCUGAUCACUUGCUAGUGGAGGCUGACACCCAUUUGCAGAAGAAUCAGCACACAGACUUUCAAGGUUACCAGUGUCAAACUUCUGCACAGAACUGCAACAUCUUCAACCAGGACUUCAUUCCUUUGCUUCUAACACUCUCUGCUUACCAAAUUAUCCAUUGAACUCCUGUGCUCCUCCAAAGGAAAAAAAUAAAAAAAGGAAAUGGGGUACAAGGCAAAAAGGUAGGGAGGGAUACUGGCUACAAGGUUAGUGCAGCUUUAUGGAUGCCCAAAAUUUUGGGUUUUGCUGAACACUUUCCAGUGGAGACUGACACAGUGAAUUUUGUCGUCUUGUUUGACUGAAGUUUUGAAGUCAAGGUAUUACUGGUUAAAUCCCAACUUCCAGUGUUUCAAAUGAUCCUGGGUGAGGAGCAGAGAGAGGGGCAGGAAAGAAGAACAAGAAAUCACCCAUCAAAACAGUAAGUUUUUAACUGAUUUAUUGACAGACCUUUAGUCUUCUGAUGGGUCAGUUAAGACAAAAACCAUCCAUAGGCUUCUCUGUUCCGUCCCUUGUCACCCCAAUCCAUACUUCUGUCAGAUGUUUCUGUAAUGAGUUCUAGACUAAGUUCAUUUUUAGAAAACAAACAGAAGGAGAAUGGCAUUACUUUAACCUGAGACAGUCUCUGUGUCAUGAGCUACAUUGUAGAUCUAGGGGGGAGGAAUAAGUAUAUUAAAUAAUAAUAUAUAAUAAUAUAAUCACAUAAAGAAAGGAGGUUAAAGGAACUGACAGUUCUCCAUUUUUUCUGGAUACCUCCUGCUGUCUUCUGCUCUUUGACACACAGGGAACCCAUAUGUGCCUUAAAUGUUCAAGAUCUUCAGAUGCAAUUGAUGGGUGCUGAUGGGUCAAUUCCACAGCAUUCACUGUAUAUUGAGUCUAACCAACACUAAUAAUUACCUGUACUACAUUGCUAGAAUUCUUGUGCAAGUUGUUCUUUUUGUAUCAUUUGAAAUGGAGUAGUACAGCACAGAGGAGCUGGAAUCCCUAUCCUGAAGAAUUCAGUCUAGAAACUUACUUCCAAUGUCAAACAAAAGACAGAAUGUAUGAAAAGAUAAAUUAUUCAGUAAUGAAUCCUACACACUUAUAAUGCACAAGUUGUAAUGAAUCUCAGUUGCUCUUGUAAUUUUGUAAAGUUGUUUACCUAAUAUGGUAGAUGUGCCAUAUGGUACACUAAAGAGAGUGUUAGAAUGAGGACGUGAAGAUUUUGAGGGUUUUAUUUCUAGUUCUGUAGGCAUCUGUAAACUACAUUCAAGCUGUCCUAGAAUGUGAGCAGAGGAAGAAUGCAGGCUGCUCUGCCCCUUCAUGCUGACUGCUGCUGCCACCUGAUAACAUCCUGCAUGUCUUCCUCCCUUGUUCCUCAGGCACUGUGGCCCAGCAUGGGGCUGUACCCUGGCUAGAUGCCAUCAAAGAAAGUCUUUCAGCCACUCUGCACCUUUAGGUUGGCUUGGCUUAAGUCAAGCUUUUUCACCCUUAAUAAAUCAUUUGAGCAGCUGAUUAACUCUUCUGCUGGGUAGGGAAUGUGACCAGGCUUCUGUUCCAGAGAGUUCUUUGGUAUGUUGCUUAUAGAAUUUCACCAUAGCUAAAACUAGCAACGUGCUCGACUGUGGCAGCAGCAGAGGUUGGGACUGCCCUGCUCAAAGCAGCAUUUCUGUCUUGUAAGAAACAGUCAACGUGACCUACAGUGAUGUCUGUAAAAUCACAGCUACUUUGCAGCACUGUAAUUUGUCAAAAAUUGAUAAAAUGGGAGUUAAAAUUCAUACAGAUGAAAAGGGCAGUUUCUUGUUCACCCUUGUGUGUCAAGUGAUGACUGAGAAAACCAUUUGAGUACAAGAAUAAAAUAUUAAUAUAAAACUCAGAGAAUAUAGGCAGUCUCUCAGGGUGAUGCCACAGGGGUGAGUGGAGCCUUGGGAAAAGCUUAACAUUGUAAUUUUUAGUUAUCAGCCAGAGUCUACUGCAGGUGAGAAGAGGACAUAGAAACUAGAAGAGUUACUCACUAUGAACUGAAUUUCUAGAAUUUUUUCUUUUAAGGUACUUGCACUAUAUUAUUUGUGGCCUGUAUAUUAAGAGCAAAUAAUUUCAGUUUUUAUGUGAA